Podarcis lilfordi (Lilford's wall lizard) is the source of this 102-nucleotide non-coding RNA. NCBI's taxonomy places the organism in Eukaryota, Metazoa, Chordata, Lepidosauria, Squamata, Lacertidae. The record is from the annotation of a GenBank genome assembly.
GGUGGGAUAUCUCAAUCGGUAGAGCAUGAGACUCUUGAUCUCAGGUUUGUGGGUUCGAGCCCACAGGGCAGGCAAAAGAUUCCUGGGCAAAAGAACCCACCA